RNAcentral lists this ribosomal RNA (742 nucleotides) under Isaria macroscyticola. RNAcentral describes it as "partial 28S ribosomal RNA". It matches the Rfam family "Eukaryotic large subunit ribosomal RNA", at positions 113 to 886 of the family's 3401-position model. Lineage: Eukaryota; Fungi; Ascomycota; Sordariomycetes; Hypocreales; Cordycipitaceae. The record is from RNAcentral.
AUUUGAAAUCUGGCCCCCAGGGCCCGAGUUGUAAUUUGCAGAGGAUGCUUUUGGCGCGGUGCCUUCCGAGUUCCCUGGAACGGGACGCCAUAGAGGGUGAGAGCCCCGUCUGGUCGGACGCCUAGCCUGUGUAAAGCUCCUUCGACGAGUCGAGUAGUUUGGGAAUGCUGCUCUAAAUGGGAGGUAUAUGUCUUCUAAAGCUAAAUACCGGCCAGAGACCGAUAGCGCACAAGUAGAGUGAUCGAAAGAUGAAAAGCACUUUGAAAAGAGGGUUAAAUAGUACGUGAAAUUGUUGAAAGGGAAGCGCUUGUGACCAGACUUGGGCCCGGUGGAUCAUCCAGCGUUCUCGCUGGUGCACUCCGCCGGGUUCAGGCCAGCAUCAGUUCGCCGCGGGGGAAAAAGGCUUCGGGAACGUGGCUCCUACGGGAGUGUUAUAGCCCGUUGCAUAAUACCCUGGGGCGGACUGAGGUUCGCGCUCCGCAAGGAUGCUGGCGUAAUGGUCAUCAGCGACCCGUCUUGAAACACGGACCAAGGAGUCGUCUUCGUAUGCGAGUGUUCGGGUGUAAAACCCCUACGCGUAAUGAAAGUGAACGCAGGUGAGAGCUUCGGCGCAUCAUCGACCGAUCCUGAUGUUCUCGGAUGGAUUUGAGUAAGAGCAUACGGGGCCGGACCCGAAAGAAGGUGAACUAUGCCUGUAUAGGGUGAAGCCAGAGGAAACUCUGGUGGAGGCUCGCAGCGGUUC